This 377-nucleotide long non-coding RNA is filed under the name Equus caballus (horse). RNAcentral describes it as "lncRNA (ENSECAG00000050615.1)". The record is from RNAcentral. Lineage: Eukaryota; Metazoa; Chordata; Mammalia; Perissodactyla; Equidae.
GCAUCGGAGACUGGAAAGAUGCUGAGAGAUGGCACCUCCCAAUCCUGCAGCUUCACACAGGGGGAAACCGAGGCCUGCAGGGUGAAGAUGAUGAAACAGAGGAUCAGAGAGGUGAUGCGACUUGCCCAAGUGAUAACAGAACAGAUUCACAGGCUGCCUCCUCGGCUCCCAUCAAUUUUUCCCUUCAAGUUGCUCUCACGUCCAGAUUUCAGAAAUAGUCUAUGAAUGGAGAGAUACAGCACAGCCUGUGAAAAGAAAGACUGGACCCAGAAGAUUUAAAUUUAAUUGAACUUAAUUAAAUUUAGAGUUUUGAAAAGAAAUAAGAAAAAUGACUUCUAGAAGAAUAGAAGCCUUUCAGAAAACAGGGGUUGAGCCAA